This 253-nucleotide ribosomal RNA is filed under the name uncultured bacterium. RNAcentral's name for it is "partial 16S ribosomal RNA". It matches the Rfam family "Bacterial small subunit ribosomal RNA", at positions 524 to 776 of the family's 1533-position model. The record is from RNAcentral.
GACGUAGGGUGCGAGCGUUGUCCGGAUUUAUUGGGCGUAAAGAGCGUGUAGGCGGCCAGGUAGGUCUGGUGUGAAAACUCGAGGCUUAACCUCGAGAUGUCAUCGGAAACCAUUUGGCUAGAGUCCGGAAGAGGAGAGUGGAAUUCCUAGUGUAGCGGUGAAAUGCGCAGAUAUCAGGAAGAACACCAAUGGCGAAAGCAGCUCUCUGGGACGGUACUGACGCUGAGACGCGAAAGCGUGGGGAGCGAACAGG